GACGAACGCUGGCGGCGUGCUUAACACAUGCAAGUCGAACGGAAAGGCCCUGCUUUUGUGGGGUGCUCGAGUGGCGAACGGGUGAGUAACACGUGAGUAACCUGCCCUUGACUUUGGGAUAACUUCAGGAAACUGGGGCUGAUACCGGAUAGGAGCUCCUGCUGCAUGGUGGGGGUUGGAAAGUUUCGGCGGUUGGGGAUGGACUCGCGGCUUAUCAGCUUGUUGGUGGGGUAGUGGCUUUCCAAGGCUUUGACGGGUAGCCGGCCUGAGAGGGUGACCGGCCACAUUGGGACUGAGAUACGGCCCAGACUCCUACGGGAGGCAGCAGGGGGGAAUAUUGCACAAUGGGCGGAAGCCUGAUGCAGCAACGCCGCGUGCGGGAUGACGGCCUUCGGGUUGUAAACCGCUUUCGCCUGUGACGAAGCGUGAGUGACGGUAAUGGGUAAAGAAGCACCGGCUAACUACGUG
This 468-nucleotide ribosomal RNA is filed under the name uncultured bacterium. RNAcentral describes it as "partial 16S ribosomal RNA". It matches the Rfam family "Bacterial small subunit ribosomal RNA", at positions 28 to 507 of the family's 1533-position model. The record is from RNAcentral.